AAAUCUAUUAUACUUUGUUUAUAACUUUGGGCCCUGAAUUCUCUGCAAAGUUUAGCAUUUUCUACUGAGUGAUGGGAAUUCGUCAUGCAACAGGGAUGCCAGAAGAAAGGGAAGAAGACAGUGCUGGGAAAGCGGCAAGACUUUUGUAUGCGCAAAUGUGGAAGGAUUCACUGAUUCCUACAGUGGAAGAAUGGAUGAUACAAUUAAUGGAACUGGCAGAGAUGGUGAAACUGACUGCAUUGAUUAGAGAAAAUAACUUGUCUAGCUUUACUUCUACUUGGAAACUGCUUUUGGACUUUUUGCUUGUAACUGAAAAAAAUGAAGUUUUGAUUUUGGGAUUUGAUGAUUAGGUGGGUAUAGUUUAUAGAAACAAUGUUCACUAUAGUUAAAAUUAGAGUAAGUUGUUAAUGUACUUUUUAUUAGUAGAUGUGCUGGAGAAGGUUGGAAGUCACUCCUUUUUUUGUAUUUCUUAUUUUUUUUCUGCACUUUUUAGUUUAUCUUUUUUUCUUUUAGUCUUUACUCUUUUUCUAUCUUUUUGUAUUUUAUCUUUAUGCUGAAACUUUAACAAAGGUGCUUUAAAAAAAAAGAAAGAAAGCAGAGGAGGAUAUUAGAAUGAUGGAAAUGCCUGGGAAUAAAAAUAAAAUGGACUGGGAAUUAGAAAUAGGGUAGAGGAAGAGGUGUAAUUCACAUGCAGAGGGUGUAUUCUUAGAGGAAGGGUCUACUAUUGCUUUGCUAGGAACUCUAGGUGGGUGGAUAGUACUAACAAUAUAUAACCUUGGAAGAGAAAGCAGUGAAACCAAUAAAAUAUGACAUUAGUAGAA
Long non-coding RNA from Candoia aspera, 821 nucleotides. RefSeq lists it as uncharacterized. NCBI's taxonomy places the organism in Eukaryota, Metazoa, Chordata, Lepidosauria, Squamata, Candoiidae. The record is from RefSeq and is a predicted model, not a curated record. The transcript is spliced from 2 exons.